AGCGAGAACCAGUCCUUCGGGACUGGGGAAAGCGGCGAACGGGUGAGUAACACGUGAGUAAUCUGCCCUCGGCACCGGGAUAGCCCGGGGAAACCCGGAUUAAUACUGGAUGGCCUUUCGAGUCUUCGGACUCGUCAGAAAAGGUGGCUUCGGCUUCCGGCUGAGGAGGAGCUCGCGGCGGAUUAGCUUGUUGGCGGGGUAAUGGCCCACCAAGGCGACGAUCCGUAGCUGGUCUGAGAGGACGAUCAGCCACACUGGGACUGAGACACGGCCCAGACUCCUACGGGAGGCAGCAGUGGGGAAUCUUGCGCAAUGGGCGAAAGCCUGACGCAGCGACGCCGCGUGCGGGAAGAAGGCCUUCGGGUUGUAAACCGCUUUCAGGAGGGACGAAGCCACUCGGGUUAAUACCCCAGAGGGUGACGGUACCUCCAGAAGAAGCCCCGGCUAACUACGUGCCAGCAGCCGCGGUAAUACGUAGGGGGCAAGCGUUGUCCGGAUUUAUUGGGCGUAAAGAGCGUGUAGGCGGCCAGGUAGGUCGGCUGUGAAAACUCGAGGCUCAACCUCGAGAUGUCGGCCGAAACCAUCUGGCUAGAGUCCGGAAGAGGAGAGUGGAAUUCCCGGGUGUAGCGGUGAAAUGCGCAAAUUUCGGGAAGAACACCCGUGGCGAAGGCGGCUCUUUGGGAACGGUACUGACGCUGAAACGCGAAAGCGUGGGGAGCGAACAGGAUUAGAUACCCUGGUAGUCCACGCCGUAAACGAUGGGGAACUAGGUGUGGGGCGGUGUCGACUCCGUCCCGUGCCGAAGCUAACGCAUUAAGU
This 819-nucleotide ribosomal RNA is filed under the name uncultured Actinomycetes bacterium. RNAcentral describes it as "bacterial SSU rRNA". It matches the Rfam family "Bacterial small subunit ribosomal RNA", at positions 65 to 865 of the family's 1533-position model. Lineage: Bacteria; Bacillati; Actinomycetota; Actinomycetes. The record is from RNAcentral.